AGAGUUUGAUCCUGGCUCAGAUUGAACGCUGGCGGCAUGCCUUACACAUGCAAGUCGAACGGUAACAGGUCUUCGGAUGCUGACGAGUGGCGAACGGGUGAGUAAUACGUCGGAACGUGCCCGAUCGUGGGGGAUAACGGAGCGAAAGCUUUGCUAAUACCGCAUACGAUCUACGGAUGAAAGCAGGGGACCGCAAGGCCUUGCGCGGACGGAGCGGCCGAUGGCAGAUUAGGUAGUUGGUGGGAUAAAAGCUUACCAAGCCGACGAUCUGUAGCUGGUCUGAGAGGACGACCAGCCACACUGGGACUGAGACACGGCCCAGAUUCCUACGGGAGGCAGCAGUGGGGAAUUUUGGACAAUGGGCGAAAGCCUGAUCCAGCCAUGCCGCGUGCAGGAUGAAGGCCUUCGGGUUGUAAACUGCUUUUGUACGGAACGAAAAGACUCCUUCUAAUAAAGGGGGUCCAUGACGGUACCGUAAGAAUAAGCACCGGCUAACUACGUGCCAGCAGCCGCGGUAAUACGUAGGGUGCAAGCGUUAAUCGGAAUUACUGGGCGUAAGGCGUGCGCAGGCGGUUAUAUAAGACAGAUGUGAAAUCCCCGGGCUCAACCUGGGAACUGCAUUUGUGACUGUAUAGCUAGAGUACGGUAGAGGGGGAUGGAAUUCCGCGUGUAGCAGUGAAAUGCGUAGAUAUGCGGAGGAACACCGAUGGCGAAGGCAAUCCCCUGGACCUGUACUGACGCUCAUGCACGAAAGCGUGGGGAGCAAACAGGAUUAGAUACCCUGGUAGUCCAA
Molecule: ribosomal RNA, 793 nt
Filed under: uncultured bacterium
Lineage: Bacteria
Description: bacterial SSU rRNA
Rfam family: Bacterial small subunit ribosomal RNA
Source: RNAcentral